Molecule: non-coding RNA, 674 nt
Organism: Esox lucius (northern pike)
Lineage: Eukaryota; Metazoa; Chordata; Actinopteri; Esociformes; Esocidae
Source: the annotation of a RefSeq genome assembly
AUGUCCCAGCCUCAAAUCCUCUGGGUGCAGGCAGCUGUUUGGCUAAAUUUAGCUUUUCAAAGUGGCAGAGUUGUGUCUGUAGUGACAGAGGUUUUUGUACGGCCACUGAAUGACUUUGUAUCACUGUGGUACACUUUUGGUGGAGGCACUAGACUGGAUGUUGGAAGUGAUGUCCGUCCCACCCUGACAGUCCUUCCCCCCUCCAGUGUGGAGCUGCAGCAGGGAAAGGCCACUCUCAUGUGUCUGGCUAACAAGGGCUUCCCCUCAGGCUGGAGUCUGAACUGGAAGGUAGAUGGAGUCAGCACCACCCGGGAGGUGACGGGGAGCCCCGGGGUCCUGGACAAGAAUGGCCUCUACAGCUGGAGCAGCACGCUGACCCUCCCUGUGGACCAGUGGAAGAAGGUGGGCUCUGUGACCUGUGAGGCCAACCAGGGCUCCCAGGCUCCUCUCUCUGAGACACUGAGGAGAGACCAGUGUUCUGAAUGAGCUCCUCCUCUGAAUCCUUCAUCCAGCUGCAUGGAGCUUAUAGCAUUUAUUUUCAUGGCCUUUUCAUGUCAUGUUUUAAUGUAUUUGCUUCUUGGCUUAUAUGUUGUAACAAUACAAUUGUAAAGGUGUUUGCAAUCAUAACUUCCUUGGACAACACUGUUGAAUAAAAUAGAAAUAAGAAUUCUUCA